This 431-nucleotide ribosomal RNA is filed under the name uncultured eukaryote. Its description in RNAcentral is "bacterial SSU rRNA". It matches the Rfam family "Eukaryotic small subunit ribosomal RNA", at positions 1210 to 1670 of the family's 1831-position model. The record is from RNAcentral.
AAAACUUACCAGGGCAACAAACUGAGAUGAUUGACAGCUUGAAAGUGCUUUCUUGAUCCGGUUGCAAGUGGUGCAUGGCCGUUCUUAGUUGGUGGAGUGAUUUGUUAGGUUAAUUCCCUUAACGAACGAGACCUUAACCUGCUAAAUAGGUGAACCUUUCUUAAGGUCGUACCUUCUUAGAGGGACUACUGUCUAAUACAGUGGAAGUGUGAGGCAAUAACAGGUCCGUGAUGCCCUUAGAAGUUCUGGGCCGCACGCGUACUACAAUGAUGCAUGCAAAAAGUUUUCCUAAUCCGACAGGAGAGGGUAAUCUUCUUAAUGUGCAUCUUGCUUGGGAUAGAUCUUUGUAAUUAUGGAUCUUGAACCAGGAAUUCCUAGUAAGCGUGAGUCAUCAACUCACGCUGAUUACGUCCCUGCCCUUUGUACACACC